Molecule: ribosomal RNA, 449 nt
Filed under: uncultured bacterium
Lineage: Bacteria
Description: partial 16S ribosomal RNA
Rfam family: Bacterial small subunit ribosomal RNA
Source: RNAcentral
AACGAACGCUGGCGGCAGGCCUAACACAUGCAAGUCGAACGCUCCAGCAAUGGAGAGUGGCAGACGGGUGAGUAACGCGUGGGAACCUACCCUUUGGUUCGGAAUAGCCCAGGGAAACUUGGGGUAAUACCGGAUAAGCCCUUCGGGGGAAAGAUUUAUCGCCAAUGGAUGGGCCCGCGUCGGAUUAGCUAGUUGGUGGGGUAACGGCCCACCAAGGCGACGAUCCGUAGCUGGUCUGAGAGGAUGAUCAGCCACACUGGGACUGAGACACGGCCCAGACUCCUACGGGAGGCAGCAGUGGGGAGUAUUGGACAAUGGGCGCAAGCCUGAUCCAGCCAUGCCGCGUGAGUGACGAAGGUCUUCGGAUUGUAAAGCUCUUUUGGCGGGGACGAUAAUGACGGUACCCGCAGAAUAAGCCCCGGCUAACUUCGUGCCAGCCGCCGCCGUAA